This is a non-coding RNA of Arachis ipaensis, 630 nucleotides long. Lineage: Eukaryota; Viridiplantae; Streptophyta; Magnoliopsida; Fabales; Fabaceae. The record is from RefSeq and is a predicted model, not a curated record.
GUAUUAAUUUAAUUCUAUUUAGGUUUAGUACCUGCUGGAAUUGUUUAUUAAGUAACUACAUAUCAAUUUCUGUAGUUUGCCAUUGCAUUUUAUGUUUUAUUUAGUUUGGGGAAAUUUCUAUCUUUAAGAUAUAUACAUUUGUCUUAUUAUAUAACUUACUAAUGAAGGUUUUGCUCUGAUCCAUGAUCUUGUAAGACUGAAAGUUUCAUUGUGAUAAUUGUUUAGCAGUUACAGGGAUUGCAAAUGUUAGUCAUAACAGAACAAAAAUAUUUACAACACUAUCUUAAAUUUUUCUAUUGGUUUGAGAUGGUUCUCUAGCAGCAAUUUUCUCAGUUUCUCUAUGUAAAAUACAGGGUUUUGGAGAAGCAAAGUAUCUGGCUUUAGAACUCCUUACACUGCAAUAAUUGAUGCUUUACUAAAUGUGACUCAGUUAAGGGUGACAAUUGCUCUUGCAGUAUAUGCUAACUGGAGCUUUGAAGGAAUCAAGGGAAGGGGAUGGGAUUGGGCUGGUGUAAUCUAUCUAUUGUUUAUUUAGUGUUUCUUUAUGUUAAUAUCUCAAGUUUAAUAAAUAUGAUGUAAAGAAAAUAUGUUACAGUAAAGAGAAAUGGUAUAAACCAUUUGAGUAGUUAA